Molecule: long non-coding RNA, 380 nt
Filed under: Ananas comosus (pineapple)
Lineage: Eukaryota; Viridiplantae; Streptophyta; Magnoliopsida; Poales; Bromeliaceae
Description: long non-coding RNA (ACOM_LNC042629)
Source: RNAcentral
CAAAGUACGAGAAUGGUGCACUUCGGAAAGUCCGAAGGUGUUAAAGUGAUCGAAAGUGAGUUACGGGAGGUUUUCGAGAGCUAGAGAAUCAAAUUCUGCAAAACUGCAGUUUUUGAGCUCUCGGGGACCGGUCCCUGGUGGGAGAGACCGGUCCCCGAACGCGUGCAGAAUGAGACAGCCGAAAAAUCGGCUAAGUCCUAGAAGGACAGCUCUCGGGAACCGGUCUAUGUCUGAGAGACCGGUCCCCCAGAGACCGGUCCCCCUAGGAGAGACCGGAUGCAUCGCGCGCAGCAGCUCUGGCCGCGCUGGGAGAGCUCUCGGAGACCGGUCCCUAGUCGGGGAGACCGGUCCCCGAGCCCGAAAACUGCCCAGUCCAGGCA